This 788-nucleotide ribosomal RNA is filed under the name human gut metagenome. RNAcentral's name for it is "bacterial SSU rRNA". It matches the Rfam family "Bacterial small subunit ribosomal RNA", at positions 725 to 1520 of the family's 1533-position model. The record is from RNAcentral.
CCUACUGGGCACCAACUGACGCUGAGGCUCGAAAGUGUGGGUAGCAAACAGGAUUAGAUACCCUGGUAGUCCACACCGUAAACGAUGAUUACUAGGUGUUGGAGGAUUGACCCCUUCAGUGCCGCAGUUAACACAAUAAGUAAUCCACCUGGGGAGUACGACCGCAAGGUUGAAACUCAAAGGAAUUGACGGGGGCCCGCACAAGCAGUGGAGUAUGUGGUUUAAUUCGACGCAACGCGAAGAACCUUACCAAGUCUUGACAUCCCUUGACGAUGCUGGAAACAGUAUUUCUCUUCGGAGCAAGGAGACAGGUGGUGCAUGGUUGUCGUCAGCUCGUGUCGUGAGAUGUUGGGUUAAGUCCCGCAACGAGCGCAACCCUUAUGGUCAGUUACUACGCAAGAGGACUCUGGCCAGACUGCCGUUGACAAAACGGAGGAAGGUGGGGAUGACGUCAAAUCAUCAUGCCCUUUAUGACUUGGGCUACACACGUACUACAAUGGCGUUAAACAAAGAGAAGCAAGACCGCGAGGUGGAGCAAAACUCAAAAACAACGUCUCAGUUCAGAUUGCAGGCUGCAACUCGCCUGCAUGAAGUCGGAAUUGCUAGUAAUCGCGGAUCAGCAUGCCGCGGUGAAUACGUUCCCGGGCCUUGUACACACCGCCCGUCACACCAUGAGAGCCGGGGGGACCCGAAGUCGGUAGUCUAACCGCAAGGAGGACGCCGCCGAAGGUAAAACUGGUGAUUGGGGUGAAGUCGUAACAAGGUAGCCGUAGGAGAACCUGCGGCUG